This 856-nucleotide ribosomal RNA is filed under the name Diaporthe phaseolorum. Its description in RNAcentral is "partial large subunit ribosomal RNA". It matches the Rfam family "Bacterial large subunit ribosomal RNA", at positions 829 to 1677 of the family's 2925-position model. Lineage: Eukaryota; Fungi; Ascomycota; Sordariomycetes; Diaporthales; Diaporthaceae. The record is from RNAcentral.
UUAAUCUCAGACCAGAUGUAAAUUUUCAGCAAGAGUAUGACUUCUGUUCAGGAAGAAGUACUCUUUGAAAAUACAUUAUUCAAUGGUACAUAUCGGGGGAUCGUGAAGAUUUUAUCGGUGAGUAUGUAGACUCGGAAUGGCUUAGAUGGAUCUUGAAUGAUCAGACAUAGAAUGAUAAGGUUGUAUGUCAAAAGGGAAACAGCCCAGAACAAAAGUUAAGGUUCCAAAAUUAUUGUUAAGUGAAAUUAAGAAGGUUUUUAUUUGAGUCGACAAGGAGAUGGGCUUAGAAGCAGCCAUAAUUUGAAGACCUCGUAAUAGAGCGCUCGUUAAGUCUUUAAAAGCAUCGAAAAUUUAACGGAUCUAAACAAUAUACCGAAACUUUGUCCUCAUUUAAACAUAAUUUUUAUUAUUGUUAUUUGCAGGGGUAGCAGAACGUUGGGUUAUAUUAGAUUUGGUAUUUUUAAAAUUCAAAUAAAAAAAAACUCAAGUGAUAAUGGUGACAUGAGUAGCGAAAAAGAUCCGGUACAAGGAGUAUUCCAACAAACUAGGCUUCGCUCUAGAUGAGGAAAGAAACUGUAGACGGAACUCGCCUAAAGCUUAUGGCUGAGGUAAAGCGGCCUCUAAGUUUUUAACCUUAAGGUUAAAACGAUGAGAAAAUAGAUUGACUACAUCGCUAACAUUUUAGUUUCAGUGCUGCUUCUGACCGUGAGGUAAGAAGGUCCAUUGAAAGUAAGUGCAAAAUGUGCUGGAAAAUGUGUAGUCUAAUCUUGUUUAGAACAACAAACUAAAAAGAUGAGUUAGAAAUAAGAUAAUAAAACCGUACCUAAAGACUGCCGCACAAGUAAGCUAGUAGAGA